UACGGAGGAUGCGAGCGUUAUCCGGAUUUAUUGGGCGUAAAGCGAGCGCAGGUGGUUUAUUAAGUCUGGUGUAAAAGGCAGUGGCUCAACCAUUGUAUGCAUUGGAAACUGGUAGACUUGAGUGCAGGAGAGGAGAGUGGAAUUCCAUGUGUAGCGGUGAAAUGCGUAGAUAUAUGGAGGAACACCGGUGGCGAAAGCGGCUCUCUGGCCUGUAACUGACACUGAGGCUCGAAAGCGUGGGGAGCAAACAGG
Molecule: ribosomal RNA, 252 nt
Filed under: uncultured bacterium
Lineage: Bacteria
Description: partial 16S ribosomal RNA
Rfam family: Bacterial small subunit ribosomal RNA
Source: RNAcentral